RNAcentral lists this transfer RNA (83 nucleotides) under Devosia sp. RNAcentral describes it as "tRNA-Ser". It matches the Rfam family "tRNA". From Rfam's summary of the family: Transfer RNA (tRNA) molecules are approximately 80 nucleotides in length. Lineage: Bacteria; Pseudomonadati; Pseudomonadota; Alphaproteobacteria; Hyphomicrobiales; Devosiaceae. RNAcentral also lists the same sequence under 3 other names. The record is from RNAcentral.
GGAGAGGUGGCCGAGUGGACGAUGGCGGCUGUCUUGAAAACAGCAGAGUGAAAGCUCCGGGGGUUCGAAUCCCUCCCUCUCCG